Molecule: ribosomal RNA, 422 nt
Filed under: uncultured archaeon
Lineage: Archaea
Description: partial 16S ribosomal RNA
Rfam family: Archaeal small subunit ribosomal RNA
Source: RNAcentral
CUACGGGGGGCUGCAGGCGAGAAAACUUUGUAAUGUGCGAAAGCACGACAAGGUUAAUCCGAGUGGUUUGUGCUAAACGAACCUUUUGACAGUCCUAGAAACACUGUUGAAUAAGGGGUGGGCAAGUUCUGGUGUCAGCCGCCGCGGUAAAACCAGCACCUCAAGUGGUCAGGAUGAUUAUUGGGCCUAAAGCAUCCGUAGCCGGCUCUGUAAGUUUUCGGUUAAAUCCGUACGCUCAACGUACAGGCUGCCGGGAAUACUGCAGAGCUAGGGAGUGGGAGAGGUAGACGGUACUCGGUAGGAAGGGGUAAAAUCCUUUGAUCUAUUGAUGACCACCUGUGGCGAAGGCGGUCUACCAGAACACGUCCGACGGUGAGGGAUGAAAGCUGGGGGAGCAAACCGGAUUAGAUACCCGAGUAGUC